This 421-nucleotide ribosomal RNA is filed under the name uncultured bacterium. RNAcentral describes it as "bacterial SSU rRNA". It matches the Rfam family "Bacterial small subunit ribosomal RNA", at positions 355 to 776 of the family's 1533-position model. The record is from RNAcentral.
UGGGGAAUAUUGCGCAAUGGACGAAAGUCUGACGCAGCGACGCCGCGUGUGGGAUGAAGCCUUUCGGGGUGUAAACCACUGUUGCCCGGGACGAAACUCCUUUUUCGAGAGGAUUGACGGUACCGGGUGAGGAAGCACCGGCUAACUCUGUGCCAGCAGCCGCGGUAAUACAGAGGGUGCGAGCGUUGUCCGGAAUCACUGGGCGUAAAGGGCGCGUAGGUGGCUUGGUAAGCGUGUGGUGAAAGCCCGGGGCUCAACCCCGGGUCUGCCGUGCGAACUGCCUGGCUUGAGCGUAGUAGAGGCAGGUGGAAUUUCGGGUGUAGCGGUGGAAUGCGUAGAGAUCCGAAAGAACACCGGUGGCGAAGGCGGCCUGCUGGGCUACUGCUGACACUGAGGCGCGACAGCGUGGGGAGCAAACAGG